GUCGGUAAGAAUGUCACGAAGUAAAUAAUCGUAGCUGACUUUUAAAAAUCUAUUUGAGAAACAUAAUUUAUCGAAGAAAUCGAGAUAAAAAAGAUUGCAUAUGGAAAGGUCAAUCUCGGCUUAUUAAGAAGCUACUUCUUCCGUCGCACCUUCGAACUCGAGCUUUACUUGACACUCCUCUGGUAGUCCCUCAACAUCCACUUCC
RNAcentral lists this unclassified non-coding RNA (205 nucleotides) under Bombus terrestris (buff-tailed bumblebee). Its description in RNAcentral is "misc RNA ENSBTSG00005031875.1". The record is from RNAcentral. Lineage: Eukaryota; Metazoa; Arthropoda; Insecta; Hymenoptera; Apidae.